This 277-nucleotide ribosomal RNA is filed under the name unidentified marine bacterioplankton. Its description in RNAcentral is "partial 16S ribosomal RNA". It matches the Rfam family "Bacterial small subunit ribosomal RNA", at positions 65 to 339 of the family's 1533-position model. The record is from RNAcentral.
AGGGGUAGAAUGUCUUCGGAUGUUUGAGACCGGCGCACGGGUGCGUAACGCGUAUGCAACCUACCUCUUACUGGGGGAAUAGCCCCGAAGAAAUUCGGAUUAAUGCCCCCAUAUGCUCGUACGGCCUCAUGGUCGAGCGAGGAAAGCUCCGGCGGUAAGAGAUGGGCAUGCGUCCUAUUAGCUUGUUGGUGAGGUAAUGGCUCACCAAGGCUACGAUAGGUAGGGGGCCCUGAGAGGGUGACCCCCCACACUGGUACUGAGACACGGACCAGACUCC